This 497-nucleotide ribosomal RNA is filed under the name uncultured bacterium. Its description in RNAcentral is "partial 16S ribosomal RNA". It matches the Rfam family "Bacterial small subunit ribosomal RNA", at positions 28 to 507 of the family's 1533-position model. The record is from RNAcentral.
GAUGAACGCUGGCGGCGUGCCUAAUACAUGCAAGUCGAGCGAACAGACCAGGAGCUUGCUCCUCUCUCGUUAGCGGCGCACGGGUGAGUAACACGUGGAUCACCCACCUAUCAGACUGGGAUAACCUCGGGACACCGGAGCUAAUACCGGAUAAUAUCUUGAACCGCAUGGUUCAUUAGUGAAAGACGGUUUUGCUGUCUCUUAUAGAUGCAUCUGCGCCGUAUUAGCUAGUUGGUAGGUUAACGGCUUUCCAGGGCAACGAUGCGUAGCCGAACUGAGAGGGGGGUCGGCCGCACUGGAGCUGAAACACGGUCCAGGCUCCUACGAGAGGCAGCAGUAGGGAAUGUUCCGCAGUGGGCGGAAGCAUGACGCAGCAAGGGCGCGUGUGUGAUGAAGAUCUUCGGAUCGUGAAAAUCUGUUAUUAGGGGAGAACAAAUUUGUAAGUAACUAUGGACGUCUUGACGGUACCUGGUCAGAAAGCCACGGCUAACUACGUG